Molecule: long non-coding RNA, 2453 nt
Filed under: Canis lupus familiaris (dog)
Lineage: Eukaryota; Metazoa; Chordata; Mammalia; Carnivora; Canidae
Description: lncRNA (ENSCAFG00000055517.1)
Source: RNAcentral
GCCCCGGGCCUGGCGCGCCUGCUGCGGCCUCAGCGGCACCCCCGGAGCGCGCGCUCGCGUGCAGUCGGACCCGCCCGCGCUGCCCCCGCGGACCUCCCCACGGCCGCGGCCCCCCCGCCCCGGGCUGCCCGCCCUUCUUGACUGCGCCGAGCAAAUGCAGCUGGGCCCGCUCGAACAUCCUGUGUUUGUUGCUGGCAUCCGUGAAAUGGUGAGAGGACCCAGACCCUUCACAGAUCCUGAAACUACUGGUCUACCUACGAGAAUCAUGAUGCUGUUGGCCUAAUCUUCACCUCCCUAUGCUUGUCCUUCUGUGAAAAGAAGAUAAGAGAGGGGAUGAGUCAAGUAACAUAAUAAACGUCUGAGAAGGUUUCUCUUAGCAGAAAAAAAGCUAAAGAUCAAGAUCUGGAAAGAAUAGCAAAUCUCUUCACCAAGAAACAGUCAAGAAAAUUACUGCUCUCCUAGCUCAAAGAGAAACAUUAAUUAAAGAAACACCACUGACACCUGGCACCCGUGCUGCUCAGAACUGGGUUCCAGAAGCACCGCCAUUCCCCGCCCUGGGAACUGGAUCCCCCACCACCUGGACUGCGCCCAAACCUAGGCGCAUCUGCUUCCUCACAUGCUCUCUCCAGAUCUGUCUCCAAAGGAUAGUUCCUCUGGUUGGAGGAAACGAGGUCACGUGCCUGCCCCCUACUCUGGGGAGUCUGAGAUUGCAAGUGUUUGGCUUCCUCAUUGGGAAGGCCUCCUGGAACACUCCUUUUUGUUAGUCAGCUUCUGUACUGUGAAGAAGCCUAAGAAACCCUGUGGAGAGGUCCACCUGGAGAGGAACAGAGGCCACCAAAUGACAGAUCUUUGGAGAACGAUGCAAGAUUCAAGAUUUUCUGUGAUGAUAUAUCUAACAACCCCUACACAGACUCAGCAUAAUCUCCUACAAUAGCGACCACAAAAACAAGCACACACAAAACCUUCUUUUUGGUCCUCUCUCCAUUUUUUGUCCAUCGGAUCCCAUAAUUAUUUACCUAAUUAUCCCACCUUUUCGGAGUCCAUUUUCCCAUUAUUUAGUAAAAGAAUUACACAUUCAUCGUAGCCACAUCUUCAACUGGACUAUGUUCUACAUAAAAUUAAAGAUGAUUUUCAAGGAAAAUAAUAAAGUCAUACAUUUGAAGUUUGAUGGUUAGGCUUUAAAAAGAGAAAUUAGUGAAGUAAGUUGUUUGAAGGUCAAAAAUGUUGCAACUUAGGGAUCCCUGGGUGGCGCAGCGGUUUGGCGCCUGCCUUUGGCCCAGGGCGCGAUCCUGGAGACCCGGGAUCGAAUCCCACGUCGGGCUCCCGGUGCAUGGAGCCUGCUUCUCCUUCUGCCUAUGUCUCUGCCUCUCUCUCUCUCUCUCUCUGUGACUAUCAUAAAUAAAUAAAAAUUAAAAAAAAAAUGUUGCAACUUACAUACAUGAUGAAGAUAAAAAGAACUCCUGGUCAGAACUCCUGAGGAAUCCUAGAAGUAAUGUGAAACUCAAGCUGCGAAUCUGAAAAGGAAUGUAAAGUAUUAACAAGUACUACCAAUGUACCAUCAUCAUUACCUAGAAAUAUUUUCCCCUUGCUUCUGAACAUCAUCCAUUUUUAUCUGGAUUAUAACAGCUCUUCUAUCUGCCUUGUUUUUCUGGCCAGUGGAAUAGAUGAGUCAUUUCACCAUCUGGGCUAGAGGAAAGGGAGAUGUAUGGCUGAAUAAAGCUGAAUAUUAUCUGUGUAAUGAUGGCCCUGUGGUCCAAAAUAUCUCUCUUUCUCAGUGUCCUCAUCCACACUUAGUCUCUCUCCAAAACAAAAUUAGGGGGUAUUCUACAAGAGCAAUUUCUGGCUACUUAUUCCCAGCUCUAAGUCAACAUUUCCAAACUUUUGGUAAUAGGAAGUCCAUGCAACAUUGACUUUUUGAAGGUUUGGUGAUGGCUGAAAAGGUUGGAUUAAAUUAAUUUAGCAAAACACAUAGCAGCAUUUUUUUUUUUUUGAAGUGCCAUUCAGAAUCCCCCAAAGCAAGAUCAGCACUUGAGGAGGAAAAUGCCAGUCUUUGCUUAGAGGUGGAGUUAGGGUUGACCAAAUGCGUGUUUUCAAUUUAUCGUGUGUGUGUGUGUGUGCAUGCGUGUGUGUACACGCAUGUAUACUCUGCUAAAUACCAGGGUACAGUGGUGAACAAAGUAGAUAGUUAUCUUGUCCUCAUAGAGUUUAAAGAUGAGUGGAAUCAAACAUGUAAAUACAUACACAUAUAUAUCAAGGAAUCUGAGACCUCUAUUUAAAACCUAAUGGGAGGGGAUCCCUGGGUGGCUCAGCGGUUUGGCCCCUGUCUUUGGCCCAGGGCGCGAUCCCGGAGUCCCGGGAUCAAGUCCCACGUCGGGCUCCUGGCAUGGAGCCCGCUUCUCCCUCUGCCUGUGUCUCUGCCUCUCUCUCCUCUCUCUAUGACUAUCAUGAAUAAA